This 329-nucleotide ribosomal RNA is filed under the name uncultured eukaryote. RNAcentral's name for it is "partial 18S ribosomal RNA". It matches the Rfam family "Eukaryotic small subunit ribosomal RNA", at positions 1470 to 1796 of the family's 1831-position model. The record is from RNAcentral.
CCCUUAGAUGUUCGGGGCCGCACGCGCGCUACACUGAAAGAAUCAGCGUGUGUCUACCCUGGUCCGGAAGGAUUGGGUAACCCGUUGAACCUCUUUCGUGCUAGGGAUUGGGGCUUGUAAUUAUUCCCCAUGAACGAGGAAUUCCCAGUAAGCGCGAGUCAUAAGCUCGCGUUGAUUACGUCCCUGCCCUUUGUACACACCGCCCGUCGCUCCUACCGAUUGAAUGGUCCGGUGAAGCGUUCGGACCGUGGCCUUUGGACGGUUCGCCGUCUGUUGGCUGCGGGAAGUUCGUUAAACCUUAUCAUUUAGAGGAAGGAGAANUCGUANCA